CAGCAGCCGCGGUAAGACAGAGGAUGCAAGCGUUAUCCGGAAUGAUUGGGCGUAAAGCGUCUGUAGGUGGCUUUUCAAGUCCGCCGUCAAAUCCCAGGGCUCAACCCUGGACAGGCGGUGGAAACUACCAAGCUAGAGUACGGUAGGGGCAGAGGGAAUUUCCGGUGGAGCGGUGAAAUGCGUUGAGAUCGAAAAGAACACCAACGACGAAAGCACUCUGCUGGGUCGACACUGACACUGAGAGACGAAAGCUAGGGGAGCAAAUGGGAUUAGAUACCCGUGUAGUCCCUGUCUCUUAUAC
Molecule: ribosomal RNA, 301 nt
Filed under: uncultured bacterium
Lineage: Bacteria
Description: partial 16S ribosomal RNA
Rfam family: Bacterial small subunit ribosomal RNA
Source: RNAcentral